RNAcentral lists this ribosomal RNA (493 nucleotides) under uncultured bacterium. RNAcentral describes it as "partial 16S ribosomal RNA". It matches the Rfam family "Bacterial small subunit ribosomal RNA", at positions 30 to 523 of the family's 1533-position model. The record is from RNAcentral.
AUUGAACGCUGGCGGCAUGCUUUACACAUGCAAGUCGAACGGUAACAGGUUAAGCUGACGAGUGGCGAACGGGUGAGUAAUGCAUCGGAACGUGCCCGGUCGUGGGGGAUAACGCAGCGAAAGCUGCGCUAAUACCGCAUACGAUCUGAGGAUGAAAGCGGGGGACCGUAAGGCCUCGCGCGAUCGGAGCGGCCGAUGUCAGAUUAGGUAGUUGGUGGGGUAAAGGCUCACCAAGCCAACGAUCUGUAGCUGGUCUGAGAGGACGACCAGCCACACUGGGACUGGGACACGGCCCAGACUCCUACGGGAGGCAGCAGUGGGGAAUUUUGGACAAUGGGCGAAAGCCUGAUCCAGCAAUGCCGCGUGCAGGAUGAAGGCCUUCGGGUUGUAAACUGCUUUUGUACGGAACGAAACGGCCCUUUCUAAUACAGGGGGCUAAUGACGGUACCGUAAGAAUAAGCACCGGCUAACUACGUGCCAGCCGCCGCGGUAA